CCUAAGUCUUGAUUUUAAGGUCUGACCUGCCAAUGAGGGUUUAAAUGGCCGCAGUAUUUUGACUGUGCAAAGGUAGCAUAAUUAUUAGUUUUUUAAUUGAAAACUUGUAUGAAGGGUUGGACGAGAUAAAAGCUGUCUCUAUUUAAAUUAAAAUAAAAUUUAACUUUUAAGUUAAAAGGCUUAAAUUAUUAUAAAAGACGAGAAGACCCUAUAGAUCUUUAUUUAUUUAAAAGUUUUAAUAUGUUAAGAUUAUUUAUAUAUAAAAUUUUAAUUAAAUUUUAUUGGGGUAAUAUAAAGAUUUAAAUAAUUCUUUGAAUUUUAUACACUUAUUUGUGAGUAUUUGAUCCAAUUUUAUUGAUUAUAAGAUUAAGUUACCUUAGGGAUAACAGCGUAAUUUUUUUGGAGAGCUCAUAUCGAUAAAAAAGUUUGCGA
This 432-nucleotide ribosomal RNA is filed under the name Heptodonta eugenia. RNAcentral's name for it is "partial 16S ribosomal RNA". Lineage: Eukaryota; Metazoa; Arthropoda; Insecta; Coleoptera; Carabidae. The record is from RNAcentral.